UAUUAGAUAUUUUCUUCAAACUAAAAAAUUUUGGCGGUAUUUUAGUCUUUUCAGAGGAAUUUGUUAAAUAAUCGAUAAUCCCCGAUGGACCUAACUUAAUUUUGUUUAACAAUUUGUAUAUCGCCGUUAUUGAAUAUUUUAUUAGAAUAAUCAUUUUCAAUUUUUAUUAUAAAAAUUAAUGUCAGGUCAAGGUGCAAUUUAUGGUUAAGAAUUAAUGAAUUACAAUAAAAUUAUUUAUACGGAUAUAAUUAUAAAAUAAAUUAUUAAAGGUGGAUUUGAAAGUAAAUUUUUAUAGAUUAAAAAAUUGAUUUUAGCUCUAAAAUAUGUACAAAUCGCCCGUCACUCUCUGA
This 350-nucleotide ribosomal RNA is filed under the name Atelestus pulicarius. RNAcentral describes it as "partial 12S ribosomal RNA". The record is from RNAcentral. Lineage: Eukaryota; Metazoa; Arthropoda; Insecta; Diptera; Atelestidae.